GUGGGGAAUAUUGGACAAUGGGGGGAACCCUGAUCCAGCCAUGCCGCGUGUGUGAAGAAGGCCUUUUGGUUGUAAAGCACUUUAAGCGAGGAGGAGGCUACCGAGAUUAAUACUCUUGGAUAGUGGACGUUACUCGCAGAAUAAGCACCGGCUAACUCUGUGCCAGCAGCCGCGGUAAUACAGAGGGUGCAAGCGUUAAUCGGAUUUACUGGGCGUAAAGCGCGCGUAGGUGGCCAAUUAAGUCAAAUGUGAAAUCCCCGAGCUGAAAUUGGGAAUUGCAUUCGAUACUGGUUGGCUAGAGUAUGGGAGAGGAUGGUAGAAUUCCAGGUGUAGCGGUGAAAUGCGUAGAGAUCUGGAGGAAUACCGAUGGCGAAGGCAGCCAUCUGGCCUAAUACUGACACUGAGGUGCGAAAGCAUGGGGAGCAAACAGGAUUAGAAACCCCUGUAGUCC
Molecule: ribosomal RNA, 451 nt
Filed under: uncultured bacterium
Lineage: Bacteria
Description: partial 16S ribosomal RNA
Rfam family: Bacterial small subunit ribosomal RNA
Source: RNAcentral